Molecule: long non-coding RNA, 210 nt
Filed under: Carica papaya (papaya)
Lineage: Eukaryota; Viridiplantae; Streptophyta; Magnoliopsida; Brassicales; Caricaceae
Description: long non-coding RNA (CPAP_LNC012966)
Source: RNAcentral
CUCGUAAAUAUUAAAUUUCAUCUAUAAAUUUACAUGUAAACUAUAGUCACCACUGUACUUCACCAAAGGUGACCCCUAUAAUCAUAUCGCAUCACCACUCUCAUCAGAGGGUAUGUCGUCAUCCAUAGGGAGUGGUCCUCUUACGUCUUUUCAGAGUAGAUGGGGAGAAACAGAAAUCCCUCAGAGAUAAAAAGCCUAAUGAAAUAGUUU